Molecule: ribosomal RNA, 429 nt
Filed under: Bacteroidota bacterium
Lineage: Bacteria; Pseudomonadati; Bacteroidota
Description: Bacteroidetes bacterium partial 16S ribosomal RNA
Rfam family: Bacterial small subunit ribosomal RNA
Source: RNAcentral
UAGGGAAUCUUCCGGAAUGGACGCAAGUCUGACGGAGCAACGCCGCGUGAGUGAAGAAGGAUUUCGGUUCGUAAAACUCUGUUGUUAGAGAAGAACAGCGCAUAGAGUAACUGUUAUGCGUGUGACGGUAUCUAACCAGAAAGCCACGGCUAACUACGUGCCAGCAGCCGCGGUAAUACGUAGGUGGCAAGCGUUGUCCGGAUUUAUUGGGCGUAAAGCGAGCGCAGGCGGUCAAUUAAGUCUGAUGUGAAAGCCCCCGGCUCAACCGGGGAGGGUCAUUGGAAACUGGUUGACUUGAGUGCAGAAGAGGAGAGUGGAAUUCCAUGUGUAGCGGUGAAAUGCGUAGAUAUAUGGAGGAACACCAGUGGCGAAGGCGACUCUCUGGUCUGUAACUGACGCUGAGGCUCGAAAGCGUGGGUAGCAAACAGG